This 40024-nucleotide long non-coding RNA is filed under the name Triticum aestivum (bread wheat). The record is from RNAcentral. Lineage: Eukaryota; Viridiplantae; Streptophyta; Magnoliopsida; Poales; Poaceae.
AAGCAAUAAUGUGUAUGUUUGCAUAAUAUUUCUAGCAUUUGAUCAAUAAAAGGUAAGGGGUAAUGAUCUUUCUUAGUAGCUUUAUUUAAUUUGCGGAAAUCAAUUACCAUCCUAUAGCCUAUGAUAAUUCUUUGUGGGAUCAGUUCAUCUUUAUCAUUAGGGACAACAGUAAUACCUCCCUUCUUAGGGACACAAUGGACAGGACUUACCCACUGACUAUCAGCAACAGGAUAAAUUAUACCUGCCUCCAGAAGCUUGAGUAUUUCUUUUCUUACCACUUCUUCCAUUUUCGGAUUCAAACGUCGUUGAGGAUCACAAACUGGUUUGGCAUCCGCUUCCAAAUUUAUUUUAUGUUGACAUAGCGUGGGACUAAUGCCCUUAAGAUCAUCAAGAGUAUAUCCAAUAGCGGCACGGUGCUUCUUCAGAGUUUUCAAUAAUCUUUCUUCUUCAUGCUCUGAAAGGUUAGCACUAAUAAUAACAUGAUAUAUUUUCUUUUCAUCAAGAUAAGCAUAUUUAAGAUUAUCAGGCAAUGGUUUAAGCUCAAACACGGGAUCACCCUUGGGCGGAGGAGGAUCCCCUAGGAUUUCAACAGGCAAAUUAUGUUGCAGGAUAGGUUCCUGUUUAAAGAACACUUCAUCUAUUUCCCUUCUUUCAUUCAUGAACAUAUCAUUUUCAUGGUCUAGCAAAUAUUGUUCUAAAGGAUCACUAGGAGGUACAGCAAUAGAAGCAAGACCAAUAAUUUCAUCCUUACUAGGCGAUUCUUCCUCACGAUGUUGUUUACUUAAUUUAGAGAAAUUAAACUUAUGAACCAUAUCAUCCAAGCCAAUAGUAACAACAUUCUUUUCGCAGUCUAUCUUAGAAUUAACAGUACUCAAGAAGGGUCUACCAAAUAUAAUGGGAAAAAGCUAUCUUGUGGAGAACCAAGAACAAGAAAAUCAGCGGGAUAUUUGGUUUUUCCACACAAGACUUCAACAUCUCUAACAAUUCCCAUUGUAGAUAUAGUAUCUCUAUUGGCAAGUUUAAUUGUAACAUCAAUAUCUUCUAACUCAGCAGGUGCAAUAUCAUGCAUAAUUUCUUAAUAUAAGUCAAUGGGUAUCACACUAGCACUAGCACCCAUAUCACAUAAGCCAUGAUAACAAUGAUCUUCUAUUUUAACAGAAAUAACAGGCACUCCUACCACAGGUCUAUGUUUAUCUCUAUCACAAGGUUUAGCAAUUCUAGUAGUUUCACCAUGGAAUUGAACAACAUGCCCAUCGAUAUUAUCAGACAAGAGAUCUUUAACAAUAGCAAUCUUGGGUUCUACUUUGACUUUCUUAGGAGGUGUAUAAGUUCUAAUAUUGCUUUUACGAACAACAAUUGAAGCUUUAGCAUGAUCCUUCAUUCUAACCGGGAAAGGCGGUUUCUCAACAUAAGAAGUGGGAACAAUAGGAUCAUUAUAAGUGACAGUCUUUUCUUCAACUUUAAUAGGUGCAGCUACUUUUACUUCUAUGGGAGGAUGAUAUUUAAACCACUUCUCCUUGGGGAGAUCAACAUAAGUAGCAAAAGAUUCACAGAAAGAAGCUACUAUCUCAGAGUCAAGUCCAUAUUUAGUGCUAAACUUACGGAAAAUAUCGGUAUCCAUAAAAGAUUUAACACAAUCAAACUUAGGUGUCAUACCUGACUCCUUACCUUCGUCGAGGUCCCAAUCUUCAGAGUUGCAUUUAAUUCUAUCCAAUAAAUUCCAUUUAAAUUCAAUAGUCUUCAUCAUAAAAGAGCCAGCACAAGAAGUAUCGAGCAUGGUGCGAUUGUUAUCAGAAAGCCGAGCAUAAAAACUUCAAGAGCUCAUGAUUGGGGCAUGAAUAUAACAUUGAUUUAAGCAUCCCCCAAGCUUGAGCAAUGCUUUCUCCUUUGCGAGGCCAAAAAUUAUAUAUAUAAUUGCGAUCACGAUGAACAAGAUGCAUAGGGUAAUACUUUUGAUGAAAUUCCAAUUUCAAUCUUUUAUAGUUCCAUGAUCUCAUAUCAUCACAUAGCUUGUACCAUGUCAAUGCGUCUCCCUUCAAAGAUAAAGGGAAGGCCUUCUUCUUAACAACAUCAUCAGGUAUACCUGCAAGCUUAAAUAGUCCACAAACGUCAUCCACAUAGCGUAGAUGUUCAUCAGGAUGCCUUGUUCCAUCUCGUGUAAAAGUGUUAGCUAGCAGUUUUUCCAUUAUACCCGAAGGAAUCUCAAAAGGAGUUUCAUUUUCAAUAGGUUUAGUAGGUUGAGUAGGUUGAGGAUCAACUCUUUGCUCUACUGGACGGGGUGAAGAUACCCCGAACAAGCCCCUCAGAGAAUUACUUUCCAUAGUAACAAGUGACAAAAUUUCAGCACACUAAAUAGAUUUUUCCUUACCAAAUUCCACCUACCAAAGGCGCUUCACUCCCCGGCAACGGCGCCAGAAAAGAGUCUUGAUGACCCACAAGUAUAGGGGAUCUAUCGUAGUCCUUUCGAUAAGUAAGAGUGUCGAACCCAACAAGGAGCAGAAGGAAAUGAUAAGCGGUUUUCAGCAAGGUGUUCUCUGCAAGUACUGAAAUAAGUGAUAACAGAUAGUUUUGUGAUAAGAUAAAUUGUAACGAGAAACAAUUAAAAAAAGUAAAUAAAGUGCAGCAAGGUGGCCCAAUCCUUUUUGUAGCAAAGGACAAGCCUGGACAAACUCUUAUAAUAGGAAAAGCGCUCCCGAGGACACAUGGGAAUAUUGUCAAGCUAGUUUUCAUCACGCUCAUAUGAUUUGCGUUCGGUACUUUGAUAAUUUGAUAUGUGGGUGGACCGGUGCUUGGGUACUGUUCUUACUUGAACAAGCAUCCCACUUAUGAUUAACCUCUACUGCAAGCAUCCGCAACUACAACAAAAGUAUUAAGGUAAACCUAACCAUAGCAUGAAACAUAUGGAUCCAAAUCAGCCCCUUACGAAGCAACGCAUAAACUAGGGUUUAAGCUUCUGUCACUCUAGCAACCCAUCAUCUACUUAUUACUUCCCAAUGCCUUCCUCUAGGCCCAAAUAAUGGUGAAGUGUUAUGUAGUCGACGUUCACAUAAUACCACUAGAGGCUAGACAACAUACAUCUUAUCAAAAUAUCAAACGAAUACCAAAUCCACAUGACUACUAAUAGCAAGACUUCUCCCUUGUCCUCAGGAACAAACAUAACUACUCACAAAGCAUAUUCAUGCUCAUAAUCAGAGGGGUAAUAAUAUGCAUAAAGGAUCUGAACAUAUGAUCUUCCACCAAAUAAACCAACUAGCAUCAACUACAAGGAGUAAUCAACACUACUAGCAACCUACUAGCACCAAUCCCGGACUUGGAGACAAGAGAUGAACUAGGAUUUGGAGAUGAGAUGGUGCUGGUGAAGAUGUUGAUGGAGAUUGCCCUCUCCUGAUGAGAGGAGCGUUGGCGAUGAUGAUGGUGAUGAUUUCCCCCUCCUGGUGGGAAGUGUCCCCGGCAGAACAGCUCUGCUGGAGCCCUAGAUUGGUUCCACCAAGGUUCCGCCUCGUGGCGGCGGAGUCUCGUCCCGAAAGGUUGCUUCCCUUUUUUUCUCAUCAAAAGACUUCAUAUAGGAGAAGAUGGGCAUCGGAGAGCCACCAGGGGGCCCACGAGGUAGGGGGACGCGCCCCAGGGGGGCGCCCCCCACCCUCGUGAGCAGGGUGUGGGCCCCCUGGCCUUCAUCUUUGGUGACGAUUUUUCUUUAUUUAUUUUAAGAUAUUCCGUGGAGUUUCAGGAAUUUUGGAGUUACGCAGAAUAGGCCUCCAAUAUUUGCUCCUUUUCCAGUCCAGAAUUCCAACUGCCGGCAUUCUCCCUCUUCAUGUAAACCUUGUAAAAUAAGAGAGAAUAGCCAUAAAUAUUGUGACAUAACGUGAACUAACAGCCCAUAAUGCAAUAAAUAUUGAUAUAAAAGCAUGAUGCAAAAUGGACGUAUCAGGCAGCAGCCGAAGGGUGCAGCGUUCGUAUUCAGUAUCCACUACAGCAAAAACUUUCCAGCUCCCGAGUGACCUUUCAUAUACCCAUAGUGCGUGGCAAAAAUUUAGACAUCGGCUCGGCUCAUUCCCGCAAUCCGCGUCAUGGCGUGGCAUGGCACGGCGGGUGGUGGAGGAGGAGCGCGCAUGGAUGUCCCUCUUGUUCUCAUGCUCAUACAAGUGGGGAAAGAACCUCCCUUAUAAGGAGGUCCAACUCCCACUAAACUAGCAAUGUGGGACUAAACUUUAGUAGUAUCCCUUGCCUUGCACGAAUGGGCUAAGUGGGCCUCUAGGAUUUAUUAGGAAAUUCUGAAAUAGUUAUUGGGUUGUCCCAAAAUAGACUAAAUUCCAGCAGCUAUGACAUUCCGUUCGGGUUUAUCUCUAGCCCAAACUGUAGGAUGUAACAAGUUGUUGAUCAACUCAAACAACUUAGAAGUUGUGGAAACUAUGAAGAAUGGUGGCAUGUUAGAUUGUAUAGCUUAUGUAUUCAUAUAUGUAUAUUGUACAUUGUAUCCCCACUCAUUAUAUAUAUGUGAUAGGCCACCCCUAGAGGGUCGUGCCGGUUCCCCCCAAACCUAUUGUCUCACAUGGUAUCAGACUAGGUCAAAUCGCUUCCGCCCAAAACCCUACGUAGCCGACACCGCCGCCCCCUGAUCGCGCCGCCACCACCAUGUCGUGCGCCGCCGCCUCUAGCUCCUCCACCGCUAGCUAUCUGUCAGCCUCGCUCGCGGCUCUCCUCUCUCGCCCGCUCGACUCCGCCAUGACGCAGUCGUUCCAGAUCAAGACGAGGAGCGUCGGCUCCUUCUUCUCCAACCAGCCCCCGGCAUCUUCAUCCCUAGGUCAUGCGCUGACGAUCCACACGUCGGGCAUCUCAUCGCCCGCCUCGAUCGGCACCAUUGUCCCAGAGGAGGAACCCGCGCCGGCCUGGAUGGUCGGCCUAUCUUCAUCAGGCCCGGCGCCUUCUGCUCCUAUGGCGUCUGCGCCCUUAGCCGCGUCUAUGCUGGCCCGGUCUUCCCCUAUGGCGCAUGUGCCUCUAGCAGCCUUCAACACGGGCUCUCUGCCGCUGUCGCCAUUUCACUUCGGUAAUCUCAUCAGCAUCAAGUUGUCAUCCGACAACUACAUCUUCUGGUGUGCGCAGGUUCUUCUGCUCCUUGGGAGCCAUUACCUGCUUGGCUACGUCGACGGCUCUCGCUCUCCCUCGCCCCCCCCCCCCCACGCUGCUGGAUAGCGUGCACGGCCUUGUCUAUAAUUCGGCGCACCGUGUCUGGACAGGGCAGGAUCAGGCGAACCUCUCCUCUAUCCAGGGGUUGCUCACCCCGGCUGUUGCCGGGCUUGUCGUCUUUGCCAAGACAUCUCACGAGCCCUAGACUAUCCUCGAGCACUCGUUUGCGGCGCAUCACAGGCUCAUGUCAGCACCCUUCGUCGUCAGCUUGGUGAGUGUGAGAAGUUCGACUCCUCGGCCAUGGAGUUCUACAACAAGGUCAAGGCUCUUGCUGACACAUUGGCAUCCAUUGGACAGCCACUCACCGACUCUGAGUUCAACUCCUUCAUCAUCAAUGGCCUCAACAAGGACUAUGAUGCUUUGGUCGAGAUCAUCAAUGAGCCAGGCACCUCGACUCCCAUAACGGUGCACGAGGUCUAUUCUCGUCUUCUCCUCACCGAGCAGCAUGUCGAGGUGCGCCGUUCCAAGAGCAAUCUCGGAGCUCUCUCUGCCAACGCUGCCACUAAGGGUGGCCGCACCUCCUCUGGUGCCUCCUCCAAGGCGCCCCCUGCAUCGCCCUUGCCCUCAGCCCCUCCUCCAUCAGCAACCUUACCGGGAGGGGGGGUCAGCGUAUGUGUCAGGUCUGUGGUCUCGAGGGACAUUGGGCCUCCAAGUGUCAUCGUCGUUUCCAGCGGAGUUUUCUCAGCCUUGGCAAUGAUGGCAAGGAUACAUGCAAUACCGCACGUCAGGUCGACAUGGCUGAUCGCCCGACGCCACAGAAGCAACAUGGACAUACUCAGUCAUACUCCAUCGACCCACACUGGUACAUGGAUUCUGUGGCAACGGAGCACCUGAUGAGCGAGAUGGGGAAGCUUCACACUCGUGAAGACUACCAUGGCUCCGACAAGAUCCACAACACUUCCAAUGGAGCAGGUAUGCACAUUUCUCAUAUUGGUCAAGCAUCUCUUCUCACUAGUCAUGCAAAUAGGAGUCUUCAGCUUCGCAAUAUUCUUAGAGUACCAUCUAUGACGAAUCUCCUUUCAGUUCCUAAACUCACUCGUGACAAUAAUGUGUUUUGUGAAUUUCACCCAUUUGAUUUUUUUAUUAAGGAUCGGGGCACGAGGGACACACUUCUUAGAGGAUGUCUGUGCCAGGGCCUCUAUCGUUUGGAGCAUCCUGGCGUCUCUCAUGUUUUCAGUGGAGUUUUGAGUAUCUUCAUCACAGUGGCAUGCUCAUCUUGGUCAUCCAACCACACCUAUUGUUCGUCAUGUUUUGCGUCGUCAUGAGCUUCCUAGCAUGUCUAAUAAUAAAGAUGUAGCAGUGUGUGAUGCUUGUCAGCAGGGGAAGAGUCAUCAACUUCCUUUUUUGGAGUCUAGUCGUGAGGUGAAACAUCCUCUAGAACUUGUUUUUUCAGAUGUAUGGGGUCCUGCUCAGACUUCUGUUAGUGGUCAUAACUAUUAUACCAGUUUCGUUGAUGCUUAUAGUCGCUUUACCUGGCUUUAUCUUAUUAAGCAUAAGUCUGAUGUGUUCGAUAUCUUUGUCCAGUUUCAAAAACAUGUUGAACGCCUUCUCAAGCAUAAGAUUGUUCAUGUUAAGUCGGACUGGGGGGGGGGGAGUAUCGCAACCUCAACUCCUUCUUCCAGUCGCUUGGGAUCGCUCACCAUUUAGCAUGUCCACAUACACAUCAACAGAAUGGUUCUGUGGAACGUAAGCAUCAUCAUAUCGUUGAAACUGGUCUUACUCUUUUGGCCCAUGCAUCGGUUCCCUUUCGGUUUUGGAGUGAUGCCUUCACCACUGCUUGUUUUCUUAUCAACUGUACUCCCACUCAUGUUUUAAACGUGAAGACUCCCAUUGAACUUCUCCUUAAUGAACAACCUGAUUACACUUUUUUCAAAGUGUUUGGGUGUGCUUGCUAGCCGCAUCUACGCCCAUACAACAAACGCAAGCUGGAGUUUCGAUCCAAAAAGUGUGCCUUUCUUGGCUAUAGCUCCCUUCAUAAAGGAUAUAAAUGUCUCCAUGUUCCCACUAAUCGAGUCUACAUAUCUAGGUAUGUCAUGUUUGAUGAGCAUGUUUUCCAUUUGCCAAACUUAAUGUGUCCACCACUGAACCACCAUCUACGCAUUCAUCCUCCAUUGCUUCUGACCAGUUUGAUGAUGUUGCAUACUCUCCUGUAUUAUUACCUAACCAUGGUACAGGCACUGGAUGUGGGGCUCAUUUGGAACUUUUAGAGGCACCAUCGCCUCUCUCUUCGACGUCGCCUAAUGAUCAUGCCAAUCAUGUUGUGCCCCUACAUGGCCUCGGUCCACAUGACCAUGCAUGUCGGGCCGAUGCCCCUGUGACGCCGCUUGCUCCGUCGCCCGCGACAUCUGGGCCGGCCUCACCUCACGUUCGGCCUUCCACGCCCACUGAGCCUGGGACGUUUUCGCCUGGGCUGGUUUUCUCUCCAAGCAGUCCAACGACGCCUUGCUUCGAGUCGCCCGUCUCCGACUUGCCCAGUCCCUUGCCAACUGGGCCUUCUUCAUCGUCGUCGCCCAGUCCCUUGCUGACUGGGUCAUCGCCACUGCCAUCACCCAGUCCCUCACCAACUGGGGCAUCUCCAUCACUGUCGUUGUCGUCGUCCAGCUCUUUGUCGGCUGCACCCUCGACCUCAGUGGCACCUGCUGCUCCUUUACGUCCACAUACACGCAGUCACAGUGGCGUGUUUCAACCAAAGCAGUGUCAUGAUGGUACAGUUGCUUGGCUUGCUGCAUGCAUGACUGCUACACUUGCGGAUCCAUCCUCUGAACCGCAUAGAUAUCAAGCUGCUAUGAGCAUUGCUCAUUGGAGAGAGGCCAUGGAGCAGGAGUAUCACGCUCUUCUUCGUAAUAAGAUGUGGACUCUUGUCCCUCCACCACCACGAGUUAACGUCAUUGAUUCUAAAUGGGUAUUCAAAGUGAAGAAGCAUUCUGAUGAGUUUAUUGAGCGCUACAAAGCACGUCUGGUUGCCAAAGGAUUUCAACAACGCUAUGGUCUUGACUACGAAGACACCUUCAGUCCAGUGGUCGAGCCUACCACCAUCAGGCUUCUUCUCUCCCUUGCAGUUACUCGAGGUUGGUUUCUUCGUCAGCUUGACGUGUAGAAUACUUUUCUUCAUGGCGUAUUGGAGGAGGAGGUUUACAUGCGACAGCCGCCUGGUUUUUCUGAUCCUGAUCGUCCUGGUCAUCUCUGUCGUUUCACCAAAGCACUCUAUGGUAUGAAGCAAGCACCGCGUGCUUGGCAUGCUCGUCUUGCAACGGCCCUUCGUGCUCAUGGUUUUGCAUCAUCGACUGCUAACUCAUCGCUAUUUCUUCUAUAGAAGCCUGAGGUCACUAUGUACUUGUUGGUCUAUGUGGAUGAUAUUAUUCUUGUCAGCUCCUCUUAGUCGGCUGCUACUUCUCUUGUUCGAUCCCUUGGUGCUGAUUUUGCUGUCAAAGAUCUUGGGAAGCUUCACUACUUUCUUGGUGUGGAGGUUUAUUCUUUGGCUAAUGGACUUGUUAUGACGUAGAAGAAGUACUCUUUGGAUCUAUUGCAGCGGGCUGGGAUGCUUAAGUGCAAACCGACAACUACACCUAUGUCUACCACUGACAAGAUCAUUGCUUUCAACGAUGAGCUUCUAUUCUCUGCUGUUGCGAUGGAGUAUAGGAGUAUUGUCGGUGGUCUUCAGUACUUGACGAUCACGAGACCAGAUAUUUCUUUUGUUGUCAACAGAGUGUGUCAGUAUCUGUAGGCGCCUCGUGACACUCAUUGGUCCGUUGUUAAGCGCAUAUUGCGCUACAUCCGAUUCACCAUAUCUUAUGGACUGCAUAUACGACUGAACCCCUCUGGGGUCCUCUCGGCGUACCCUGAUGNNNNNNNNNNNNNNNNNNNNNNNNNNNNNNNNNNNNNNNNNNNNNNNNNNNNNNNNNNNNNNNNNNNNNNNNNNNNNNNNNNNNNNNNNNNNNNNNNNNNNNNNNNNNNNNNNNNNNNNNNNNNNNNNNNNNNNNNNNNNNNNNNNNNNNNNNNNNNNNNNNNNNNNNNNNNNNNNNNNNNNNNNNNNNNNNNNNNNNNNNNNNNNNNNNNNNNNNNNNNNNNNNNNNNNNNNNNNNNNNNNNNNNNNNNNNNNNNNNNNNNNNNNNNNNNNNNNNNNNNNNNNNNNNNNNNNNNNNNNNNNNNNNNNNNNNNNNNNNNNNNNNNNNNNNNNNNNNNNNNNNNNNNNNNNNNNNNNNNNNNNNNNNNNNNNNNNNNNNNNNNNNNNNNNNNNNNNNNNNNNNNNNNNNNNNNNNNNNNNNNNNNNNNNNNNNNNNNNNNNNNNNNNNNNNNNNNNNNNNNNNNNNNNNNNNNNNNNNNNNNNNNNNNNNNNNNNNNNNNNNNNNNNNNNNNNNNNNNNNNNNNNNNNNNNNNNNNNNNNNNNNNNNNNNNNNNNNNNNNNNNNNNNNNNNNNNNNNNNNNNNNNNNNNNNNNNNNNNNNNNNNNNNNNNNNNNNNNNNNNNNNNNNNNNNNNNNNNNNNNNNNNNNNNNNNNNNNNNNNNNNNNNNNNNNNNNNNNNNNNNNNGAUAGGCCACCUCUAGAUGGUUGUGCCGGUUCCCCCCAAACCUAUUGUCUCACAUGGCCGAUCAAUGGGGAAAGUGGUAGCGAUUUUUUAUGACUGCUACCAUCUUGCUCUUUCCUCCUACUAUUUUUGAUCAUUGUAGUAGAGUAGCUAAUGACGUGGCACAUGAGUUAGCUAGGAUGGCCAUGAGAGUUCCUUAUCCCCAAUUCCAAACACGUUGAUCAGCCCAAGCCCAAAACGGCAUUGGUAUGAUCGUGAGUUAAUUCAUCGAUGCGUACAUACUUCCCGUUCCAUGUUGUUUUACUCAACAACUCCACUCCAACCCUUGCCACUUCGUUAAGCUUUUUCCAUCGAGCCUCCUAUGACCGGUGGUGACGCAUGCUACAACCAGAUGAUCUGCUGCCCCUAUUGCCAGACGUCUCCAUGGCUGAUCUCUCCGAUCCCGAGUCUUAUAGCAUGGCUCAUCCAUGCAGGAUAAUCUUCUCGCCCUACGCCACUGAUUGGCACCUUCAGAAUGUCCUCGAUAUCACAUGGAAGCAUUGUUUUUUCAAGGUAGGCACGUCCCAUUCUCUUCCUAGCAAAUCGACCACACCUUGGAAACGUUGGUGCGGUCCAGCGUUCCCGGUGGUUUCGUUGAUCUAGCUCUCGGGAUCCAGCCAUCUGCCCACACAUCAACAGUAGACCCGUCCCCUAUGCACCAAACAAGGCCGAUCUUCAACAGUUCUCGCCUAAACAUGAUGCUCCGCCAAGUGUAUGAUGUGUUCUUUGGGCAUGUGGCGUCCAAAAAUCCCAUCUCUCAAAAAUACCGUAGAUAGAAUUCACCAACCUGUUUGGAGAGCAAAAUGCUUGGCUGAAAAUUUCGAAGUCUCGAAACCCCAUGCCUCCCAUUCUCUUGCUCAUGCAUAUUUUGUCCCAACCAAUCCAGUGAACCUUGCGUUUCCUAUUCUCCGCUCCCCACCAAUUUUUUGAUGAAGUAUAUGUCAACUUCCGGCAUGUUAUUUUUUGGUGAAUUUGAAAUAGCUCAUGGAGAACGUAGGAGUCGCUUGAAGCACUGAUUUGAUCAACACCUCCCUUCCAGCUUUCGUUCGCCCUUGCAUUUGAUGAGAUUAUUGACUAGUUAGAUACGCCUCGUGGUUGUAGCAAAUGUGAAUAUAAUUUUCUUUUCAUUCGCGACACAUAUAUUUCCAUAAUGUUGAUAUUGAUACUAUAUUUUAAACAUGAUAAUAUUUUAUUUAUAUUUGUUGGAGUACGAUCAACAUUGUCCUCCCCCCUCCCCCUAUCAAAUCGUUGUGCCCUUGCACUUGCUAAUAAAGGGAGAGGAAAGUUAUAUAAAAAGGUAUGGAUUUAAAUAGUAAUAUAUAUAGAGAAAAGAAAGAAGGUUUGUUUCUCCAAAUUUUUUGUGUGUAUCAACCUUUUUUGUACGUCGUCCGCUUCCUCAAAAUUCCCUAUUUGAUGCAUACGGCGUCAAAUAGUCAGGGAACACAAUGAGUCAGUCCACGCAGAGGCGUUAUGUUCCCAGUUACUGGUUGGUUUUUUUACUGGUUUUGGUUUUGUUUUCUUCCUUUUUGUUUUUCCAUAAUUUCAAAAAUCGUUCAUGUUUUAAAAAAAUUGAAUUUCCGAAAUUUUGUUUGUGUUAUAAAAGAAAUGUUUGGAAUUUGAUUUUUUUUCAUGCUUUAAUAAAAUGUUCGGAAUUCAAUUUUGUUUCAUGUUUUUCAAAACAUGAUUGAAAUUUUGAAUUUUUUUUAAAAAUUCAAUAAAUGUUAAAAUAUUUGAAAAAAUGAUGUGAACUACAGAAUUUUGUUCAUGCAUUCAGAAAUUCUGCAAAAUUUUCAACAUUUGUUUGAAAUUUCGGGAAAAACAGAAUUUUAAAUAAAUGCGCGCGAAAUCAAAAAAUGUUCGUAAUUUGCAUUUGUUGUUCAGAUUUUUUAAAAAUGUUGGAAAUUUAAAAAUUGUUCAAAAUUUCUAAAAAUAAUGUUCACUCUUUUUUGAAUUUUCCUUGACAACUUCUGAAUCGCGAACUACAUUUAGGUGCUACAGUAUUUUUACGAGCAGCAGUGGACAGAUGCAGCGUGGCAUUAGUUGGCUUGCCUGCCAAUGGGCCAUCCCAGUUCGCUGCCCGCCCGUGCGUGCUGGUGCUAUACGAUACAGAAUGUGUCAUAUAGGACGACCCCGCCUCCUCGGGAUUCCUAUUCGGUGCGAGGGUGCUGUCGAGCACCCACGCUUCAUGCGCUGGUAGUCGGAUGGGCCAACCCAUUUCACGAUUUUUUCUUUUGGUUUUUCCUUAGUUUCGUUCUUUUGUUUUUUUUGUUUUCUUUUUUCAUUUUCUCUUUCCUUUCUUAUUUUUUUCUGUUUUCUUUUUAUUUUAUUUUCCUUCUUUACUUUUUCACUUUUAAUACGAAUUUUCUUUCCAAAUUUGUAAACAUUUUUUUGUUCAUCGAAUUCAAAAAAUAUUUAUCAAUGUAAAAAAUGUUUAUCAAUUCAAAAACUGUUUACUGAAUUCGUUUUUUUCAUUGGUAUUGAAAAAAUGUUCACUAAACUUCAAUUUUUGUGCAGAAAAAUAAAAAAUGUUCAUCAAAUUUGAAAUUUGUUCAUCCAUUAUUUUCAACAAAAUUCAUCGAAUACAAAGUUUGUUCAUCAAGUUAAAAAAUGUCCAUGAAAAUUGUUCAUCAAAAUAAAAAAAAUGUUCAUAAAAUUUUGAAAAUUGUUCAUUAUUUUGAAAUCCCAAACUUUUUUGAAUUCUAGAACUUUUUUCGAAAUCGGUAAAAAAAUUGAAUCCGUGAACGUUUUUGAAAGUCAGAAUUAUUUCCGAAAUCUCAAAGAAAAAAUAGGAGGGAACCUUGCGCCCCACAUGGGCCGGCUCGGGAGGGCGUACAGCAAGCUCCCGGCCUCCACUUACCAAAGUUGUUCUUCAACACGAAGGAGAAGACAAAAAAUCCAACCCGAUAGCCCCCGUAAUCGCCCGUCUUCCACACGAAGCAGUUGUCCAUCUUUGUGUCCGUCUCCAANNNNNNNNNNNNNNNNNNNNNNNNNNNNNNNNNNNNNNNNNNNNNNNNNNNNNNNNNNNNNNNNNNNNNNNNNNNNNNNNNNNNNNNNNNNNNNNNNNNNNNNNNNNNNNNNNNNNNNNNNNNNNNNNNNNNNNNNNNNNNNNNNNNNNNNNNNNNNNNNNNNNNNNNNNNNNNNNNNNNNNNNNNNNNNNNNNNNNNNNNNNNNNNNNNNNNNNNNNNNNNNNNNNNNNNNNNNNNNNNNNNNNNNNNNNNNNNNNNNNNNNNNNNNNNNNNNNNNNNNNNNNNNNNNNNNNNNNNNNNNNNNNNNNNNNNNNNNNGUUGCUUUAGAAUGGCCAAUUGAUAUGCUUGGAAUCAUAUAAAAAAUUUACAUUGGUAUGCUUGGAAUUUGUGCUCUAUGUAUGAUUUUACUUGGUGCUCUAGAAUGAGGUUUAACAAUCUUGCCUUUCAAUAUGAGUUUAAUGAUAAUAAAACCUUGGAUUCUUACGCUAAUGUUGUAUAUGAUUACUAUGACUUGAAACAAAUAGAAGAACUUGCAUUGUUGCUUUUAAGGGUGCUUAUGAAAUUGUUUCUUUGCUUGAAAAUAUGAUGAUGCACUUUACAAAUCUGAAGAUCUUGCCAUACUUAAAUAUUACUAUGCAAACUAUGGAUACAAUGCUCAUAUUAAUUAUUUUAUUGAGAGAAUGUCUGCUGCCCUGGAAGAUAUUAAUAUUUUGCUGGAAUAUAUAGAAGAAGAAAUUGUUGAAACCGUGAGCUCAUUAGAUGAAAAAGAUGAAGAGGGGAGUGAAGGACAUAAGGAGGAAGAGCGGAUUGAUCACCCGUGCCCACCUUCUAACGAGAGUAACUCUUUAACUCAUACAUUAUUUAAUUUUCCUUCAUACUUACCGUGGAUGAGUGCUAUGAUCCAUUGGAUUAGUUUGAAAUAUCCCUUUUUUGAUGAAGUCGAUGCUUGCUAUGCUUAUGGCUAUGAUGACACUAUGAAUUAUGCUUAGGUUAAUGACCUUAUUGAUUCGGUUACGAGGUAGUGGGAUGGGGAGUUGGUAACUCUAACUUUUUGAUAAAUAGAUGUUUAGCGUGUUUUGUCUAUUCCUUUGCCUGGUCAUGACAUGGAUGCUUUUGUGGGAUGGAUUGUUCUAAGUCCGUUCAGCAUAUCAUGUGAAUUGGGGUCACCAACGUGGCUAGAAAUUGAGGAGUACAAAGGGAAUUGAGUCUAUGUGUCUGAAUGGAGUUUGGGAGAAAAUCUGGAAACUACAAUUCCCAACUAAGGUGAUUUUUUUAUGUAAAACCUUAAGGAGGACGCUUGCCUACCGACUCAAUCUUCCAAAUUGACACACUAUGGUUUCUAGACAAUGCCCAUGUGCAACACAUGUGCAAAGGAUGUAACACACCUACUAUUUAAAUGCAACAAAGCAGCCGAGCUAUGGCAUCUUUUAUGUUUGGAUGAGAUUAUAUAUCAAGAGGGCGUGCAGCGUCGAUAUGGCGGGUGAAAUUGUAAUGGUUUUUCUGAUUCAGACUCCGAUACAAGAGCUUGGUCUUCUCGGCCAAAAUAAUAUACAUGAAAUAAUAGCCAUCGCCUAUUGAUAUUUUUGAUGGGAAAGAAGGAAAAGUGUCCAUGCCGAGAAAAUAAAGAAUUCUAAUAAAAUAGUAUCAUACAUCAAAGCUUUAACAACGAAUUUGUCACCUCAUUAGCUCCAAAGGCAAUGAUAAAGAAAGAUAGAUUGCUUAAGCCACCGGCUAGUUUUGUCAAAAGUUAAUGUGCAUGCAGCUUUCGAUCAAGACCACAUAAAAGGUGCAUCUAUCUGGACCUGUGUCCUUCGUGAUUCAUUUGGUAAUUUACUAAUUGCUGCUAACUGAAAGAUCGACAUGUAUAUAGAUGUACUAUCUACUGAAGCUAUGGCAUUGGGUUGGGGUUUAUUUGUGGCCAAAAGUGGGAUGCAACAAGUUGUUGAUCAACUCAGACAACUUAAAAGUCGUGGAAACUAUGAAGAAUGAAGGUUGAUCAAUGGGGAUAGCAACAGUGAUUUUCGAUGACUACUACAAUCUUGCUUGCAAGUUUCCCCAUAUAUUUUUUAUAAUGGCGCAUGAGCUAGUUAGGAUGCCCAUGAGAGCUCCUUCUUGCGUGUGGAUGGAUGAUGCCCCAUCGAAGUUUCUUCCUCGUUGAACGAUAUAACCAUUGCCACUUGCUAAUAAAAGGGAGAGGAAACUAUAUAACAAUGGUAUAGAUAUAAAUUGUAGUACAGAUAUGACAGAAGGUUUGUUUCUCCAAUUUGUUUGUGUGUAUAAUGUUUUUUUUUACCUCGUCCGCCUCCUAGGAAUUCACUAUUUGAUGCAUUUUGCGUCAAAUAGUCGGGUCAUCGCAUAGGAGGUUCGUGACAGCGAGCGCAAUGGGCAAGUCCCUAAUUUAUAGCGGUACGCAGAGGCGUUUUGUUUCGGUUUUAGGAACAUUCUAGAUGGUCCCAGUUCUUGACUGUUUUUUUAUUAAUUUCUUGUUCUAUUUACUCGUUUUUCCGGUUUCCUUUUUUGGGUUUUCAUUUUUACGUUUUCAUUUUUUAUGUUUCUUUUUCUUCCUUUUUGUUGUUUCAUAAAUUCAAAAGUUGUUUGCGUAUUGAAAACAAUUCAAAAUUUGAUUUUUUUUCAUGUUUUAACAAUGUUCAUAAUUCAAAUAUUUGUUCAUGUUUUUCAAAAGUGUUCACCAAUUCGAAACAUGUUCAAAUAUUUCAAUAAAUAUUCAAUUCUUUUUAAAAGAUCAGCAUUUAUAAUUUUUGUUCAUGGUUUUAGAAAUUCCGCAUGUUUGUCAAAAUUUGUUUGGAAUUUUGAAAAUUCUUCAUACUUUUUAAUAAAUGUUAUAAAAUUCACAAAAUGUUUGUUUUUUGUUCAGGUUUUCUAAAAAAUGUUCGAAAUUCCAAAAAUGGUUCAAAUGUUUCAAAAAAAUAAGGUUCCCUAUUUUUUCAAAUUUGUUUGUCAAAAUUUGUUUUGGAAUCACAAGCUACCAUAUUUCUUUGAGAAGGCGCACAAGCUACAGUAAGGCGCUGCAGUAUUUUGACGAUGGUUAGUUGGCUGGCCGCCUGUGCGUCCUGGUGCGAUACGAUGCGGAGUGCGUCAUAUAGGACGUCGCCGCCUCCUCUUCUGACCGUUGUUGUUCAACACAGGAAAGGAAAACCCAGCCCAGUAGCCCACGCAAUCGUCCGUCUCCCACAGGAAGCAGUCGUCCGUCUCCUCCGUCUCCAACACAAUCCGCCGCCGCCGUCUCCUCCCAUCCCGUCGCUUCCGCCGUCUGCCGAUUGAUGAGUGUUUCCCGUUUCUUUGUCCGCCGUCCCUCCCCGCACUCACGCACGCGUACACCCAUCUUCCUUGCUCGCCUGGUUCCGUGCUUCGUGUUCGAUUCAGAGCGGAGCAGGGGAUCCAUUGAUGUAAGGUUCGGCUUCCGAUCCAUCCAGGCCGCCGGCCAGUCCACCGAGGGGAGAUUCCAAGCUGUCCACGCGAAACCCUAGACGCCGCAGGGAUGGAGCAUCGCCGCCGCCUCGCCCAGUUCUUGCUCGCCUCAGCUCGCGGGGAUGGAGCAGGAGGGCGCCGCCGCACCAGGCCCAGGACGACGGCGCCGUGGACGGCUGGGCGCGGGACGACACGAAGCCCCCCACUCCGCCCCGGCAAUCCCCCGAGGCUACGUCUCCGCCGCCGCCUCCGUGCAGCCGCUCGUGCCGACCCUCAACUACGAUUGUGAGUGCUCUUCAACCCUCUGUCUGGUAUCCAUGGAUUGUAUUGUCAUUUGUUUCUGAUUGAGCGUCCAUCGAUGGUGGCAGCAGUGGGGAGGAGGCCUGCCGCGACCUCGACGCUACUCCCGCGACCACAACCACUGCGUCCGCUAGAAAGGUACUAGACCAACUGCACAUUCCCCCUCAGGAAUCAGAAACAACCAUACAUGCUGCCAUGAACAACCCAUACAUUACAUUGCGUUGUUAGGACCAGCGAAUUCAUAUGGUAGGAACAGGUGGAUGCAGUGAAGUGACUAGAGAAUUUCAGAAUCCAGACUGUUGCUGCUAUAGAUCUACUCUGCUCCGCCAUUCGGUAACUAAAUGGCAAUGCAGCAGUUGUGUGGUUCACGGUUUAUGCAGCAGCUACCCGUUCUUCUACCGAUCUGUUGCUCGGUGAUCAAUUGUGUGUGGUUGUUUAAUUUACUGCUCAGUAGCAUGCACACCUGAAUGCGCUGGGAUGACCGAAAAAGUCACAUGUUCAGUCAGUUAUCCCCUGCCAGCUAUGCUUUCCAGCGUUUUCCUUAUAAUUUCCACAUGUUAUGUGCAGGCGCAUGAAUUGGGGAUAUGUACUUCGGUUUGGGUUUAAAGGGGCAAUCUUUGAGCAUUUGUAUCAACUAUUGAGGAUCUCAAGUUGACAUGGAUCGCCCUAUGAUCAAGUGCAUUAUGGUGCUAUGAUGAUUGUGACAGAAGAUGUUAGCUGCAGAAGCAAUCGCUAUGUAAGUGUGACGUCUCUUUUGAUCCUGCUUUGUUUAUUUUUCAAAUCAUUAAUAUUUCCAUUGCUUUCCUUCUUGCAUAAUUGCUCUAAUCUCUGGAAAUUUUGUGCUGAUAAAAAUUGCUAGUAUAUGCAGCUGUGGUCAUGAAAUUGUAUUGAGCAGAAUAUGAAAAAGGUCAUUUGAUUAAUGGAAUAGAUUAUGCCUUAACUCUGUUCAAGACAGGUCUCAGCUGUGAUACUGAAAUUGUUCUGAGCAGAACAGGAAAAUCAUUUGAUUAAUGGAAUAGGUUAUGCCUUAACUCUGUUCAAGAUAGGUCUCAACUGUGAUAAUGAAAUUGUAGUGAACAAAACAGGAAAUAUGCUAUUUUUCUAAUGGAAUAGAUUAUGCCUGAACUCUGCUCGUGACAGGUCUCAGCUCCAAUAUUAAAAAUCAGUGCACCUGAAUUAGGACACAAUUUUUCUCAUCUGGAACUGCGCUUUAAGGUGUUUGGUCUGAAUGCUACGCUCCUGAAUACAAUGUGAUAUAAAAGGUUCAUGAAAUCACCAGGUAUGGAAAUGCUUGACCAUUUUUGUAAAUUACUUAGUACAAUAUUAUCUGUUUGUUUUCUGCAUUAUUUCCCAGUUCUCUUGCAGUACUAUUCAACAACCUAUCUUCCUGCCUACUAGAUAAAAGAGGGUUUUUGUUUACUUAACAUGGUUGCCUGAUUAACAUAGUCAUGGUUUCUGUUAGUUAUUUUUUCCACUACCGAAGCAACAAUUAUCUUCCUACCUACCAGAUAUACUACUACUUGAUUGCUUAGUUACCGGCUUAAGAAGCUCCACGAUUCUUUUAUAUGAUAUUAAAAAAAAUUGAGUUCUAACUUUGUGGAAAGACACGCUAGGUUCUGAUGUUUUGGGGCCAAUGUUCAUUUCUAGAGGCAAAUACUCAGAUUUCUUAGUGAACUAUAAUCCCAUCUAGAUAACCCCCCUCGAUAUAGCUCCCUUUAUUUGCACGACACAAUCUAGCAUAUGACGGUUCUGAUUUGGAUUGUGAGUGUUUCUCCAAAAACUAGGAUUAUAUACUUGAGAACAAACAAAUAACGUUAUAAACUUACCUCGAAGCCUAUGGGUUGACUGAAGCUUGAUAAAUAGUUUCAGAUGCACUAUGGUCUCGUAACAGUAGAAAUAAGCUUUGAGGGAAAGAGAACCAAGUAUAGGUGACUGCAUAGUAGAAGAUGUGUAAUCGUGUUGCACUAUAGUGUCUUUAUAGAAGCCGACAAAAUCAGAGACAUCCUAAAUUUUGUUUUUUGUUCUUGUCAGUUAAGAAAAGAAACAUUAACUCUUGGAUUAUCAGUAAGGGAAUAUGCCUUAUUAGCACACUCUUAUGGUGGUUAUUAUGAGCCUUCACAAAGGCAAUGUACUUAGAGUCAUCGCAGUGAUGAUCGACAUAUAGAAGGAGAGUUUGACCACGAGUUGAAAGGUGGACAAGAAGUGUAGGAUCAUGAGAACUCGCCGAAAACUUGCCGCAAUCACCACUGAGACAAAAUGCUCAAACUAGGCACGAGGGGUUUGCUUAAGGCCAUAAAAGAGCGAUGAAGAUGACAAACCAUGCCAUCAGGAGGAGAAUACCCAGGUGGUGGGUAUAUGUAGACCUCAUGCAACAAGGAGGAAGAGAAAUGGUAUCCCACAUGCCUAUGCGCGCUAGAGCAACAAUCUCGUCUACAAUCGCAUGCUGCUAUUCAUGGUGAACAAAUGCGUCAUACUAAGAAGUCGUCUCGAGAAAAGCGACACUAGAAUAACCAAUAACCAUAGGGCCAAUAGGCAGAAGCGAGAGAGCUCAGAAGCCAUAAGUAGGCCGAGCUUUAGGUGGCGCGUUGCCAACAGGAAAGACCAUAGUAGUCGAGGGAGAUGGCUCAUUAGAAGGAUCCACAACACGUGGACCACAAGUGUAGUGAAGAAGAUGAUAAGGGGGAAUCAUCGGGGAAACCUCAUGGAUGAGCGAGGUGAGGUAGCCUCAGGUAAUGAACGAGGCGGGGAAGCCGCAUGUGGCGGUGUGUGGGGUCUAUAACAGUAGUCGAGGGAGAUGGCUCAUUAGAAGGAUCCACAACACGUGGACCACAAGUGUAGUGAAGAAGAUGAUAAGGGGGCAUCAUCGGGGAAACCUCAUGGAUGAGCGAGGUGAGGUAGCCUCAGGUAAUGAACGAGGUGGGGAAGCCGCAUGUGGCGAUGUGUGGGGUCUAUAACAGUAGUACGGGAGGAUAAGCUGGGAUAGGUGGGCGAGGGCAAUAAAUGAGUGAUAAGUGUAUCAGGAAAAUUGAGGGAAGAAAUAUCGUCAAUGGGGGAGGCCGAAGGAGAGGAUGGACUCGGGUAGAAAGGACGAGACUCAAUCAGAAGUGACAUAUCAAGAAAUACCCAUCCGACGACUAACAAGAUCCCAACACCGAUAGCCCUUGUGCUUAUCGCUGUAAUUUAAGAAGACAUAUUCAACAGAUUGAUCAAAUAGUUUGGUGCGUGAAGAAUGUAGCAAACACAACCAAACAAAUGAAGUGUUGAGUAGUUAGGAGAGAAUGCUCACAAAGACACUCGAGAGGAAUGUCGCCCUGUAGAGCCGAGGAAGGAUGAAUGUUGAUGAGAUAGGUGGCUACGGUCAUCAACGCGCUAGCCGCCUCACGAAGGUGACGAUGCUUGCGCUCAACAACCCCAUUCUAAGCAUGAGCACCAGGACAAGAGAGCAAGUGUGCUUUGCUCAACAAGGAAUCUACGCAACAAAUGAGAGAGAUACACACAAGCAGAAUCUGCACGAAAGACAUGGAUAGUAGUGGAAAACUGGGUAUGAACCAAGGUGGCAAACCUUUUAUAGAUAGAUAAGACCUCACUACAAGAAGGCAUAAAAUAUAUCGACUUGUGUCGAGAGAAAUAAUGGUAAAGGUAAUAUAGUGGCGAUGGCCUCCUUUCGAGGCGAAGAGAGUUGGGUCCCAAACAUUAGAGUGAACAAGAUUGAAUGAGGAUACGGUAACUGAACGUGUUUACCUAGCAGACAAACUUGACAUUUAAAGUUACAUUGCGAGACAGAUCCUAGAAUACCACAUCGUUCUAAGGAUGAGAGACUAGAGCCACACAUGUGACUGAGAUGACGACGCCACAGAGUCAGUAGACAAGGUAAGAGAGUCGAAGAGAUUGGCGGAUGUGGUAGCAGAGGGAAGGCGUAGCCUGGCAAGAUUCAGUGGCCGUGCGAGUCACAACGUCGAGGGUCAACACCAAGUAGAUCACCCGUGUGCAAAUCCUAAAUUAGAAUAAGAGCCAAAGUCAAGAAUAUUGGAGUAAUAGAAAUAUUGUUUGUGUUAGGUUCAAUGAUACAUUUGCUUGGAACCCCGGACGGAGUUAAACUUGAGAUUGGGCACUUGGAUUUGUGAUAUUUUGAUAUGAGCUUGAAACUGGAGAAUUUUAGGGUGUAGCAUGAUGAACCUGAGAUAUAUUGAAUUUAUAUAGGUAUAGUAUGAUUAGCAUGAAUGCAGUAUUUGUGGACUAUUGGAUCAUCUUGGAUAUUACUAGUUGGAUUCUAGGUUAAAGAUAACUUGAGCAGUUGGAUUUGUGAUAUUUUGACCUAAGUUUGGUAGCUUGUAUGGCUAUGAGCAUGCAGAUGAUACGAUCGUAGUUGGUAGACCGUGAUGAUUUUGCUAACCCUCCCCAAGAAUGUUACAAGUACAAGAUCAUCAUGGGAGGAUGAUUUGGAUUAAUUAGAAUAGAUGACAAUUUCAGUGGUAUGAGCCUUGUUGGAGCAGCUGAUGUUGCUUUUAUUAUGUUUUUGUGCUCCUUUAGAUGCAGAAGUAGGAGGGUAGGACUUAUGAAGUGAUACUAUAUUGGUGGAUAAAUAGAUCUUUAAUAACAUUGAAACUGGAGAACUUUAGGGUAGGACUUAUGAAGUUUGGAUUUACUUACAUGAUAGUGAUCUUAGAAAAAAAUCUGGUGGAUAAAUAACUUUUAAUAUUUUGAAUCUAUAGUCAUCUAGUGGAAAGCUUGCUUCAUACUGGACUUAGAUAACCAUGAUAAUGGGCUUCGUUGAAUCAUAGUUAUGAUUUAUACUAGAUGCACACUUUUAGAGAUUUAAACUAGAAAACUUUAGGGUGUAGUAUAAUCAAUUAGAGAUAUAUUGGAUUUAAUAUGAAUAUAAUAUGAUCAACAUGAUUCUGAGAAUUGAUGGAAGAAAGCAAAGAUAUUGGAGUAAUAGAAAUGUUGUUUGUGUUAGGUUCAAUGAUAUAUCUGCUUGGAUUCUAGUUCUAGGUCGGAGUUAAACUUGAGAUUGGGCACUUGGAUUUGUGAUAUUUUGACACGAGCUUUAGAACUGGAGAACUUUAGAACUGGAGAACUUUAGGGUGUAGCUUGAUCAUCCUGAGAUGUAUUGAAUUUAUAUAGGUAUAGUAUGAUUAGCAUGAAUGCAGUAUUGGUGGACUAUUGUAUGAUCUUGGAUAUUACUAGUUGGAUUCUAGGUUGGAGAUAACAUGAGCAUCUGGAUUUGUGAUAUUUUGACCUAAGCUUAGUAGCUUGUAUGCGCCCCAUAUGGAUAUGAGCAUGGAGAGGAUACAAACGGAUUGUAGUUUGUAGACUUUGAUGAUUUGAUAGCCCUCCCCAAGAAUGUUACAAGUACAAGAUCAUCAUGGGAGGAUGAUUUGGAUUAAUUAGAAUAGAUGAUAAUUUUAGUCGUAUGAGCCUUGUUGGAGCAGCUGACCUUGCUUUUAUUAUGUGUUUGUGCUCCUUUAGAUGCAGUAGGGAAGGAGGCUAGUAGUUAUGAUGUGAUAUUAUAUUGAUGGAUAAAUACAUCUUUUAACAAUGUUGGAACAGUUUGGAUUUACUUAGAUGAUUGUGAUCUUGAAAACAAAUCUGGUGGGUAAAUAACUUCUAGUAUUUGGAUCUAUAGUAAUCCAGUGGAGGCUGAGGUAGUUGGAGAGGGCCGAUGAGAAAGCACAUGAGAAGCUUUACUCGAUCUCCUGAAGACCGACAUUGGCGCAAAGGCCGAUGCGGCUGACAGGGUUUUCACCCUCUCGCACACCUCCCGUGCAUUGUUCAUUUCCUGCCAAUUCGGCUUGGUAUCCUUUCCUUGUUUGCGGGUUCUGGGCCACUGGCUUGAUCUGGCAUCACACGUUUUCCUGCCGUGUGUCCUUGGCCUUGGCGGUAGGUAACGUCGUGCGCUCGGGCUGUGUCUCGUGGGUUAGCCAUUGCGGUGCCAACUGCCUGUGUGGCUAUGGCGGCGCCCAGUAAGGAAACAUGAGAUGUGGGAUUGAGGCAUCGCACAUAGCAACCCGAAGCCAGGCAAAGGAUGCCGGUCGGACUGGCAGGAAGUGGAUUGCACAUGAGGUAUGGUGGAAGGGAUGAAAACGUUGGUGGGAGCGGAUUGUCAUUGUCGUUAUUCAUUGUACUUGGAGCCAAGCAUUGAGGGGAUGGUGAUUGGGGAUGUGGGAAGAUGGUUGGAUCAUAGUUAUGAUUACUACCUUUAGAGAUUGAAACUGGAGAACAUUAGGGUGUAGUAUGAUCAAUCGGAGAUAUAUUGGACUUAUAUGAGUGUAAUAUGAUCAGCAUAAUUGUGAAAAUUGAUUAACUAUUACAUCAUCUUGGAUUGAUAUAGUAGGAAGAAAACAAAGAUAUUGGAGUAAUAGAAAUGUUGUUUGUGUUGGGCUCAAUGAUAUUUCUGCAUGGAUUUUAGGUUGGAGUUAAACUUGAAAAUGGACACUUGGAUUGUGAUAUUUUGACAUGAGCUUGAAACUGGAGAACUUUAGGGUGUAGCAUCAUCAACCUGAGAUGUAUUGGAUUUAUAUAGGUAUAGUAAUCAUCAGCAUGAAUGUGGUAUUGGUGGACUAUUGGAUAGACUUGGAUAUUACUAGUUGGAUUCUAGGUUGGAUUUGUGAUAUUUUGACCUAAGCUUAGUAACUUGUAUGUGCCCCAUAUGGAUAUGAGCAUGGAGAUGAUACAAAUGGAUCGUAGUUGGUAGACUCUAAUGAUUUUGCUAGCCCUCCCAAAUAAUGUUACGAGUACAAGAUCUUGGGAGGAUGAUUUGGAUUAGUUAGAAUAAAUGACAAUUUCAGUGGUAUGAGCCUUGUUGGCGCAACUGAUCUUACUUUUAUUAUGUGUUUGUGCUCCUUUAGAUGCAGUAUGAGGAGGGUAGUACUUAUGAAAUGAUAUUAUAUUGGUGGAUAAAAGCCCGAUGCGGCUGACAGGGUUUUCACCCUCUCCCACACCUCAUGUGCAUUGUUCAUUCCCGCUGAUUCGGCUGGGUGUCCUUCCCUUGUUUGCGAGUUCCGUGCCAAUGACUUGAUCCGGCAUCACACGUUCUCCCGCCGUGCGUCCUUAGCCUUGGCGGUAGGUAACGUCGUGCUCUCGGGCUGUGUCUCGUGGGUUAGCCAUUGCGGUGCCGACUGCCUGUGUUGCUAUGGCGGCGCCCAGCAGGGAAACACGAGAUAUGGGAUUGAGGCAUCGCACAUAGUAACCCAAAGCGAGGCAAAGGAUGUCGGUCGAACUGGCAGGGAGUGGAUUGCACCUGAGGUAUGGUGGAAGGGCUGAAAAUGUUGGUGGGAGCGAACUGUCAUUGCCGUUAUUCAUUAUACUUGGAGCCAAGCGUCGAGGGGAUGAUGAUUGGGGAAGGUGGGAAGAUGGUUGGAUCAUAGUUAUGAUUACUACUAGAUUCACACCGUUUGAGAUUGAAACUGGAGAACUUUAGUGUGUAGUAUGAUCAAUCGGAGAUAUAUUGGAUUUAUAUGUGUAAUAUGAUCUGCAUGAUUGUGAAAAUUGAUGGACUACUACAUUAUCUUGGAUUGAACUAGUAGGAAGAAAACAAAGAUAUUGGAGUAAUAGCAAUGUUGUUUGUGUUAGAUUCAAAUGUUUAAUGAUAUAUGUGCUUGGAUUCUAGGUCGGAAUUAAAUUUGAGAUAAGGCACUUGGAUUUGUGAUAUUUUGAAAGCUUGAAACUGGAGAACUUUAGGGUGUAGCAUGGUCAACCUGAGAUGUAUUGGAUUUAUAUAGGUAUAGUAUGAUUAGCAUGAAUGCGGUAUUGGUGGACUAUUGGAUGAUCUUGGAUAUUACUAGUUGGAUUCUAGGUUGGAGAUGACUUGAGCACUUGGAUUUGUGAUAUUUUGGCCUAAGCUUAGUAGCUUGUAUGUGCUCCAUAUGGAUAUGAGCAUGGAGAUGAAACAAUUGGAUCGUAGUUGGUAGACUUUGAUGAUUUCGCUAGCCCUCCCCAAGAAUGUUACAAGUACAAGAUUAUCAUGGGACGAUGAUUUGGAUUAAUUAGAAUAGAUGACAAUUUCAGUGGUAUGAGCCUUGUUGGAGCACCUGAUCUUGCUUUUCUUAUGUGUUUGUGCUCCUUUAGAUGCAGUAGUGGGAGGAGAGUAGUACUUAUGAAGUGAUAUUAUAUUGGUGGAUAAAUAGAUCUUUAAUAACCUUGGAACAAUUUGGAUUUACUUAGUUGAUUGUGAUCUUGAAAAAAAAUCAGAUGGAUAAGUAAAUUCUAAUUUUUCAAUCUAUAGUGAUCUAGUGAAAGCUUGCUUUAUACUGGAUGAUAACCAUGAUAGUGGGCUUGUUUGGAUCGUAGUUAUGAUUUGUACUAGAUGCACACCUUUAGAGAUUGAAACUGGAGAACUUUAGGGUCUAGAAUGAUCAAUCAAACAUAUAUUGGAUUUAUAUGUGUAAAUAUGAUCGGUAGGAUUGUGAAAAUUGAUGGACUAUUACAUCAUGUUGGAUUGAAUUAGUAGGUAGAAAACAAAGAUAUUGGUGUAAUAGAAAUGUUUGUGCAAGGUUCAGUGAUAUUUUUGCUUGGAUUCUAGGUCGGAGUUAAACUUGAGAUUGGGCACUUGGAUGAUGUUUUCACAUGAGCUUGAAGCUAGAGAAGUUUAGGGUGUAGCAUGAUCAACUUGAGAUGUAUUGAAUUUAUAUAGGUAUGGUAUGAUUAGCAUGAAUGCGCUAUUGGUGGACUAUUGGAUCAUCUUUGAUAUUACUAGUUGGAUUCUAGGUUAGAGAUAACUUUUGAUUCUAGGUAAUAGUUAUGACGUGAUACUAUAUUAGUGGAUAAAUACAUCUUUGAUAACUUUGGAACAACUUGGAUUAACUUAGAUGAUUGUGAUCUUCAAAAAAAAUCUGGUGGAUAAAUAACUUAUAAUAUUUGGAUCUAUAGUAAUGAGGGCAGGCCUGGCGCAGUGGUGAAGUCCUCCCCACUUGUGCCAAGAGGUCCUGGGUUCGAACCAGCCUCUCUGCAUUGCACUUUGCAGGGGUAAGACUAGGUUCCUAUAAUCCCACCCCAGACCCCACCUUGUGUGGGAGCUUCUAUGCACUGGGUCUGUCCUUUCCUUUUAUUUGGAUCUAUAGUAAUCUUGUGGAGGCUGAGGGAGUUGCAGAGGAGCGAUGAGAAAGCACAUGAGAAGCUUUACUCGAUCUCCUGAAGAUCGACAUUGCCGCCGUGCAAAUCCCUAUGGGGCUGACAGGGUUUUCACCCUCUCCCACACCUCAUGUGCACAUUCCUGCCGAUUCGGCUUGGUGUCCUUCCCUUGUUUGCGAGUUCUGUGCCAAUGACUUGAUCUGGCAUCACACGUUCUCCCGCCGUGCGUCCUUGGCCUUGGCGGUAGGUAACGUCGUGCUCUCGGGCUGUGUCUCGUGGGUUAGCCAUUGCGGUGCCGACUGCCUGUGUGGCUAUGGCGGCGCCCAGCAGGGAAACACGAGAUGUGGGAUUGAGGCACCGGACAUAGUAACCCGAAGCCAGGAAAGGAUGCCGGUCGGGCUGGCAGGAGCGGAUUGCACAUGAGGUAUGGCGGAAGGGAUGAAAACAUUGUUGGGAGCGGAUUGUCCUUGGAGCCAAGCGUCGAGGGGAUGGCGAUUGGGUAAGGCGGGAAGAUGGUUGGAUCAUAGUUAUAUUACUACUAGAUGAUUGGAUAGCCUAUAUGUGUCCCAUAUGGACAUAGCAUGAAGUUGAUACAAACGGAUUGUAGUUGGUUGACUUGAUGAUUUUGCUAGCCCUAUCCAAGAAUAUUACGAGUACAAGAUCAUGGGAGGAUGAUUUGGAUUAAUCAGAAUAGAUGACAAUUUCAGUGGUAUGAGCCUCGUUGGAGAAGCUGACCUUGCUUCUAUUAUGUGUUUGUGCUCCUUUAGAUACUGUAGUAGGAGGGUAUCACUUAUGAAGUGAUUUUAUAUUGGUGAAUAAAUAGAUUUUUAGUAACCUUGGAACAAUUUGGAUUUACUUGUGAUUGUGACACAGCGGUGGAUAAAUGACUUCUAAUUUUUGGAUCUAUAGUAAUCCAAUGGAAACUUGUUUUGACUUAGAUAACAAUGAUAGUGGGCUUGGUUGGAUCAUCGAACAUAUAAAGGAUGAGCGGGGUGCUAGGCACAACCGCUGUCUCCACGUAGGCUAUGAAUAGUGCCGGCGAAGUGAGCGUUGCGUCCCGCGCGAGUAGAGAAGCGAGAGACCUAACCCGUCUCCCCCGCAACCCCUGCCUCCUCUCCCGCCGCCGCCGCCGCCGCACCCCCUUCUCCCCUUCUCCAUGCUCGCCGCUGCCGGCACCGCGUCCGCCGCUCCCCCGCCUCGAGCCAAACACCGCCAUGGAGCCUCCGCUCCCUUGCCUCGAGCCACCCCGUGCCUCGUUUGCCUCCUCUCCCCCCUCUCCCUCGUCUCCUCUCCCGCCCCGCCAGCCCCUUCUCUCCUUCCCCGCGCAAGCCAGCCCCGGAUCUGGAGGAAGAGGAGAGAUGCGGGUUCUGGAGGAGGAAGAGGAGAUCUGGGCCUCGCGGCGGUGGCUCGACCGAUGCAAGGUGAUGACAAGUUGCCUCCUCUUGCACGCCCUCUCCCUCGCCGCCGCCACGGCCUCUCCCACCGCUCAUCUCCACCUCCUCCCACUUUCCCUGUUGCUCACAUCCCUCUCAGUCCAUGGCUUCCGGCGCAUCCCCUCGCGGCGGCCACCACUCCUUGUCUCCUCCCAGGUUCUCGAUCUGGAGGGCGGGCCGCCAAGAAAGCCGGCUCCGUCUUGCUCUCGCACCACUGUCCAUCCACCCGAGAAGCCCGUCCACACACCUGUCAUUCACGCCCCUCCUCCUCGGCUCGUUCUCAUCUCUGUCAGGCAGAUGAGCUCCUGCUUCCUCUCUGUCUCCCUUUGAUUUUGUGCUUGUGCUGUACUGUGUGUUUGUGCAGUUGCUUUGUGAGCUACAGCUACUACUUGUGCUGCUAGAUGUGUGUGCUGGUUCUGGUGCUGCUAGCUGCUGCUGGUUGCUUGUGUUGCUGGUAUGUGUUACACUGCUACUACCUGUUGCUGGUUGCUUCUUUAUUUGGUUAAUUGUGACACUGAAAAGCCUUUUGUGAAAAGCAAAAAUUAUUGAGAAGGCUAUGAGCUGAUGAGAUGACCUUCAUUUUCAAUUUCUUAUUUAAUAAUUGAUGAAGGAUAUGUCAUAUAUUCAGUUGCUAACAUUUUCUCUGUGGUGUAUGUACCUAUUGUUCAUUGCAUUCGAGGGAGAGGAAAACAAGAGUAAGAGAGCCUUGGGACACGACGGCAGUAGCACGCAGCGCCAGGUCAAGCGCACCGACCUCGACGACAAGAGACCAACCAGUACACUUAACAAGAGUAAGAGAGCCUUGGGACAACACUGGAUGAGGGCAGGAUUUUAUUUCCCCAUCGUGUCUGAUGAUGUGUUCAUGAGCUAAUUUGUUCUUAUAGUGGUUCCAAUUUUAUUUCUAUCUCGCAGGAUUUUGUUGCAACGACACAGUGCUGACAAUUUUUCUUUUUGGAAUUUGUCAAUGAAAUUCUGCUCGAUCAUGUAACCUUUUGUUUGGAUUGUCGGCCGCCUUGUCUAUAUUUGUAGAUACUGAUUUUGUUGUUUGCUUAAUGGCUCAUUAUUUCACAGGAUGUUGGGGCUCGGGCAAGGGAGGCUGCGCUCAGUGCAGUACUGCGGUCUUUUACUGCCCUUCACUGUUAAUUAAAUAUAUAUUAUCUUCAUAGCUCAUACAGUUUUAGGCUUUUAGCAGUAUGAAAAGUCACAGAUAAUGUGAUGGCGACAUUUGGGCUUAUACAAGUGUUAGUUGUCAGUCUCUGCCCGCAUGCAUUUGAACUUGCCUUGGCCACGAUCCUUAAGCUUGUCAAAAGUUGUGGAUCGAUAGGCAUUGACAAAAAAAUAUAAGCUCUAUGUUCUGAAAUACAGGUAGAGCAGCUGCUAUAGCACCCCUAGGGAGAUUGCAUUGAUUGAUUCUCAUCGUAUAUAUAACUCAACUAUUUAAAGUAUUCUAUAUACACUGAAAUCGUGCUCAUAAUUUUUUAAAGUAUUCUAUAUGCACUGAAAUCGAGCUCAUAAUUUUUUUUAUCAUGUACCUUUUCUGCUAAAGAUCAUUACACUUCUCUUCAAUACAUCAAUGUUACUUCCAAAGCAGAGUCCCUCCUAGAGGACAGUUUCUUUUAUCAGAAGGGUGAGUGUGUUGUAUAUUUUUCUGUCCACUAAAUCAACUACUUCUGGUUACAUAUUGUGACAGAAUUAAGUAGGCAUAUGCUUAUUCGUUGAUUCUUAUACCGAAACUGAAUUGGUAUUGUGUUAAUACAUUAUAGUCAUCCUUGAAGGACAUGUGUUUUAUUGCCAUGCAUGCUUAAUGAUUGCUUGCUGAAGCAUUGGUCCUAAUUUACCACGGGUUUGGCGUUGCGUUUUCUUUUUGUAUAUGGUUGCUGCAGUGGCCAUUGAAUAAUGAUUCUAUCCAUUAGUAGUAUCUUGUCAUUAUGAAAGUUUGUGUAUUUUUUGUACAUAUGAAGGUUUGUGUAUUUUGUUCUCAGCUGCGUUGCUACAUAUAAAUUUGAGGCAAAUGAUGAUACGGUUCAGACUCACACUUUUCUGAUUUUAUCUUGUCAUUAUGAAGGUUUGUGUAUUUGUUUUUGUUCUGCAUAUAAAUUUGAGAAUGAUUUUAUGGUUCAAAGAGACAGUUUAAUCAUAUUUGAGCUGCCAGCUUGCUUCAGCCAUGUGAUAUCGGAGCCCGAGGUUGACAGUGGCCAAAUGACUGAACUUGUUCGCAACAUUAAUAGUAGUACUCUUGAUAAACAUAGCAUUCCUGACCUUUUUGUACCGUUCGCCUGUUUGCAUGUUUAUAACAGGGGAAUUAGUCCAAGUGUUAUUGGUUCACUUGCUACAGGUGGAAUAUAUCUUUGGUGUUAUUGAAUCUUUAACCAAGACAUGGCUGGAGGCUGGAGCACACUAAUCCUGAUCGAAUAGGUCAUCUCACUUUAUAGGUGGAGUAAUUGGUGAGAUUUUUUCGGUCUCUUGUAUUUUACUUUCCAGAAAAUCUGCAUGAUGGUACUCAAAAUUUAUGAAUGGUUUUAUUGGUAUGUCAUGGUGUGGAUAGAGAUGAUGUUCAGUAGACUCCCUCAUCAUCUUGCCAGUGCUAUUGAUCGCUCACAGCUUGAAUCUGAAUGUGCUUCUUCCAGUGUAUGCUCCCUCUCUUUGGUUCAUUAGCCUCCCAAGACUACUUUGGUAUGAAAGUAAAGCCUUCACUUACUGCCAGUGUAAUUUUGGCUAUUUUUUUAAUUUCAUUAGACAUAUACGUUUCUGGAGUGAUCUUCAUAACAUACGCAGUCAAAUUUGUUUUUCUCAUAAGUUGGAUCAUCGCAUAACUUAUUGGUGGUUGCACUAGCUGAGCUUUAUUAUAAGUUCUGGUGCACAUUGUAUAUCAUGGAUAAAGUGUAUGUAAUCUUCUUGGUGAGUAGGUUUUAGAAUGAUAUAAAAUUUAAAUAAUUGAGCUAGCAUUAUAAUGCUUCAGGUUUUUUCUUUCAAUCAAUUAACUUUGGACUGCUCACUAAUUGGUGCCCAUGCAUGUUCUGUUUUAGUUUUUUCACUUUAUUAAACAUACAAGUUUCUGGAGUGAUCUUCAUAACAUACAGAGUCAAAUUUGUUUUCUCACAAGCUGGAUCAUCGCAUAACUUAUUGGUGGUUGCACUAGCUGAACUUUGUUAUAAGUUCUGGUGCGCAUUGUAUAUCAUAGAUACAGUGUAUGUAAUCUUCUUGGUGAGUAGGUUUUAGAAUUAUAUAAAUUUUAAAGAAUCGAAGCUAGCAUUAUAAUGCUUCAGGUUUUUUCUUUCAAUCAAUUAACUUUUAACUGCUAACUCCGCCUAUGUCUUCUAGGCAUAGCCGGUCCCAAGCCCGGGUAAAGGAGGAGGGUUGUGAUAGGCUUGGCGAGCCAACGUAAAAACUAGCCAGUCCCAUAGGUAUGAAACCGAUUUGAGCGAGAGUAGUAUUAGGAUGGGUGACCUCCUGGGAAGUCCUUGUGAAAGAGUUUCAUAUCUAAGGGUUGUGAUAGGCUUGGCGAGCCAACGUAAAAACUAGCCAGUCUUUUGGGUAUGAAACCCAUUUGGGCGAGAGUAGUACUAGGAUGGGUGACCUCCUGGGAAGUCCUCGUGAAAGGGUUUCAUAUCUAGCCUACCCCAACUUGUUUGGGAUCAAAGGCUUCGUAAGUAAGUAAGUAAGUAACUUUUAACUGCUCACUAAUUGGUGCCCACACAUGUUCUGUUACAAUUGAAGGUAAUUUACAAGAAACGGUAGAUGUUUUAGUUUUAGGAAAUAUAUCAAAAUAAAAUCUGUGGUCAAUCUAGGUUGUACUAAUAUAUAUGUUUUUAAGAGACUGCUCGGUAUUUAUUUCCUAGCAGGAAUUCCAUACCAUUUCAUGGCCAUUGAAACUUGCCUAUUAACCACGAGAAAUCACUUUGUUAGACCUUUCAACCUGAGCAUUGAUAGUUGUGGAUGGCACUAGGAGAGUUGGGACAAUUUUCGUUGGUUUAUUUCUCACACAAUGCCAUGCCAACCUGAGGGGUUGGGGAUACAUAUUUAUAGGCUGCUAGCCAGCCAAGGCAUAUGCUAAGAUGCUGCUAAGAUGCCAGUCUAAGAUGCUAGUCUAAGAUGCUAACUGACAGUCCUUGAUGGUCAAGAACAGAACUCAACAGAACUCUAUCCUAACAGCCAGUCCUUGAUGGUCCAGGACUUUAUCCUCCUAACUGCCACAAGGACCAUGUGCUGCAGCCCCACAAGGACCCUAGUACACAGACUUAUCCAUCAUUCUCCCCCUAAGUCUUGUACGUCGUCUUGUGGGAGAGUUGAAUCAUCCCAAUCCUGGAGCAAAGUUCGAGGAACUUGACCCUCCCAAGGGGCUUGGUGAGCAGGUCUGCGAGCUGAUCCUUGGUGUUGAUGUAGCUCGCCUCGAUGCUCCCUUCUUCCACACAGCUGCGGAUGAAGUGAUACCUCAGUCGGAUGUGCUUGCUUCGUUCGUGGAACACGGGGUUCUUUGCCAGGGCCAGGGCGGACUUGCUGUCCACCAGGAGCUGCACCGUUUUGGUGUCUUGAAUGAGAAGAUCACCAAGCAGUCGAGCAAGCCGGAGCGCCUGCGAGUGCGGGCGGUGGAGGCCGCUAUGUACUCAGCCUCACAGCUGGACAGGGCCACCACCUGCUGCUUGACUGAUUGCCAGCUCACGAGACACUUGCCGAGGAAGAGGAGGAUCCCGCUCGUGCUCUUGCUGGUGUCAAUGUCGCCGGCGUGGUCGAUGUCGCUGUACCCGACGAAGUGUGCCGCCCCAGGACACCUAGGGUAGUGGAGGCCGUGGUCGAGGGUCCCUGCUAUGUAGUGGACGAUCCUCUUCACUGCCUGCUGGUGUUCCGACGUUGGUCGCUCCAUGAACCGACUGACAUAGCCGACGAAGAAUGUCAAGUCCGGCCGUGUGUGAGUGAGGUAGCGAAGGCUCCCCACAAGGCGUCGGUACUGCGUAGCAUCCACUUCCUUCGUCGUGCUGUCGCGGCUCAGUUUCAGCCUCUCCUCCAUCGGAGUGAGAGCUGGAUGGCAGUCGGUGAGCCCAGCUAGCUCAACGAUGCGCUUGGCGUAGGCGGACUGUCGAAGCGCGAUCCCGGAGUGGUCCUGGUGCACCUCAAUCCCUAGAUAGAAGGAGAGGAGCCCCAGGUCACUCAUCUGGAACGUGGCCUUCAUGUCUUCCUUGAACGCCGCCACCUCUGCACCUUUGGUGCCGGUGAUCACCAGGUCGUCAACGUAGACGCCCACCAGCAGGGCAUUUCCUCCACUCCCCCGUCGGUAGACGGCAACCUCAUGCGGGCUCUGCUCGAAACCCAUCUUCUUCAGCGUGGAGUCCAGCUUGGCGUUCCACGCCCUGGGUGCCUGCCGCAGACCAUAGAGAGCCUUGCGCAGGCGGAGCACCUUGCCCUCCUGGCCGGGAAUCGUAAAUCCAGGUGGCUGAUGCACGUAGACUUCCUCCUUCAAGUCGCCAUUGAGGAAUGCCGACUUAACGUCCAUGUGGUGGACACGCCAGCCCUCCUGGGCAGCCAGCGCAAGGAGAAGUCGCACGGACUCCAUCCGUGCCACGGGAGCGAAAGCGUCGUCGAAGUCGACUCCUUCCUGCUGCAAGAAGCCUCGGGCCACCAAGCGAGCCUUGUGCUUGAUGAUGGCGCCGGCUCCAUCCCUCUUCAGCUUGAACACCCACUUAAGGGUGAUUGCGCGGUGACCUCGAGGGAGAUCAGCGAGCUCCCAGGUGCGGUUUUGCUCGACCGCAUCCAUCUCCAACUGCAUCGCGGCGCGCCAUGCCGCGUCUCUCUCGGCCUCUGCAAAGGACCGUGGUUCGCCGUCCUCACACGCGAGUUGUAGCUGCGCCUCCAGGUCACGUGGCAUCAGUCCCGGCACCGGCUGGUCGCCGAGUAGAUCAUCCAUCGUGCGAUGCCGCAGCUGUUCGCCUCCAUACCAUGCGUCGACCCGCUCCUCGUCGUGAGUGAGUGGGGAAGCGAACUUCAUCGGGUUGUGCUCUGCGUGAGCUGGUGCUGAUGAAGACGAGCCCGGAGUGGCGACCGCCGGGGCUGGAGUAUGCGGCGUCGCCGGUUGUGGUGUCGUCGGUGUAGCAGGCGCCGGAGUCGAUGUAGUUGGGGCCGGAGUAGACGUGCCCGGUGAAGAGGAGCUGUUUGCUCCCCCAGCUUCCUUGAAGUGGACGUACUCGACAAUGAAGUCGUCAUACGUCGGCGUCGAGCCGUCGUCCACCGCCUUGUCCCAUUGCCACCCUCGCCCUUCGUUGAACACGACGUCUCGCGCUGUGCGCACACGUUGUGUCUUUGGGUCGAGGAUGCGGUAGGCCUUUGAGCCCUCCGCGUAGCCGAUGAAGACUCCCGGAGUGCUCCUGUCGUCGAGCUUGCCGAUGUGGCCGAGCUCCUUGGCGAACGCAAGGCAGCCAAAGACCCGCAAAUGAGAGACCGCCGGCUUCCGCCCAUGCCAGGCCUCGUACGGAGUUCUGCCGUCGAGUGCCUUAGUAGGAGAGCGGUUGAGGAUGUAGACGGCCGUUAGCACCGCCUCUCCCCAGAAGACAGCCGGCAUCCCUCUCUGCUUGAGGAGAGCCCGAGCCAUCCCCACAACCGUCUGGUUGCGCCGCUCGACGACGCCGUUUUGCUGCGGGCUGUACGAUGCGGAGUAGUGGCGCUGGAUGCCCUCAUUGGCGCAGUACGACGCGAAUUCAGCCGCCGUGAACUCGUCGCCGUUGUCAGUGCGCAACACGCGCAGUUUGCGGCCGCUCUCCGCCUCCACACCAACCUGCGCGCGCCUGAUGGCGUCCGUCGCUUCUCCCUUACUGCCGAGGAUCAUCACCCACAUGUAGCGGGAGAGAUCGUCGACGAGCAGCAGGAAGUAGCGUCGACCUCCUGGUGUGGCUGGCGUCACCGGGCCGCACAGGUCUCCGUGCACGAGCUCCAGCUUCUCCUUAGCCCGAAAACUCGCCUGUUGGGGAAAGGGGAGUCGUCUCUGCUUUGUCAGUACGCAGAUGUCGCAGAACUGCUCCACAUGGUCGAGGCAUGGCAGGCCUCGCACCAUCUCCUUGGCACUUAGACGCUUCAGGGCCUCAAAGUGAAGGUGCCCAAAGCGCUCAUGCCACUGCCACGCCUCGUCGUCUCGACGGACAGCGAGACAGACCGGUUGUGCCACCUGCACAUCAAGGACGUAGAGUCGAUUUUCACCUCUGGGCACCUUGGCGAGAAGGCGACGCUGGCGAUCCCAGAUGCGUAGGACCCCAUGCUCAAUCAGCACGCGUGAGCCGUUCUCAUCCAGCUGUCCCAAGCUGAUGAUGGAAUUCCUUAGCGCGGGGAUGUAGUAGACACCGGUGAGCAGCCGGUGCUCUCCCAUCUUGGUGGUGAAGAUGACGGAGCCGACGCCCUUUAUCUCCACAGCGGAGGCAUCCCCGAACUUGACGGAGCCUCGCGCAUCGGAGUUGAGCUCGGCGAAGAAUUCCCUUCGACCGGUCAUGUGGUGGGUGGCGCCGGUGUCGAGGCACCACCCGGUAGCCUUGUCCUUCCCGGAGCCAUCGCCGAGAAGAGCGUGUGCUUUUGGCUCAUCGAGGUGGAUGAAAGCCUUUGCGACUGGAGUCGCCGAGGGUAGCUCAAUGCUUGCAUGCGCCAUGAACAGAGCCGUCUCCUCCUCCUUCGCCUGUGCGACGUGAGCCUGGCCUUGUCGUGGUUGCCGACACUCAUUGCCCCAAUGGCCAAACCGGCCACAGUUGUGGCAACUGUUGUCUUGUGCCGGCUUGGGCUUGCCAGCGGCGCCGUCCUUGGCGCCUCCGCGGGCGUCACCUUCGGCACGUCCUUGUGCCCUGCCCGGGGGGCCUCUUCGCGCCUUACGCUGCUUGCCACGCUUGCGGCCGCCCGUCGAGGAGGAAGGCUCCCCCUUCUUCCUGUCACCAAGGCUGGGAUCCCACUGCUCCCGAGUUAGGAGCAGCUUCCCGCCGGUGGUGACGGGCCCCGAGGGGGGUUGUGGCUCGUCGGUGUCGACGACCUUGAGUCGACCUAUCGCCUCCUCGACCGUCAUCGUAGAGAGGUCCAGCAACGACUCGAUCGAGCGAGCCAUCUGCUUGUACUUCUCGUGAAUGCACCGAAAAAGCUUCUCGACAGCUCUCUCCUCGGUGUAGGUGGCAUCGCCAAACUUCACCAUCUUCUGCAGCAGAGUGUUGAGACGGAGAGCAAAGUCAUCAACGUCCUCACCUGGCUUGAAGCCCAGGUUCUCCCACUCCUUACGAAGUGCCUGCAGGGUGGACUUGCGAGCACGGUCGCUGCCGAUGCGUGCUGCGGCGAUGGCGUCCCAAGCCUCCUUGGCAGUCCGCUUGUUGGAAAGCGAGAACUGCAUCUCGGGCGGGACUGCGGCGAUGAGGGCGUCCAGUGCCCGUCGAUCCUCUAGGUGGUCGACGUUGCUGUCCUGGACUGCCUCCCACAUGCGCCGCACCUGGAGCCUGACCUUCAUGAUCCCGUCCCACUCGACGUAGUUGGUUUUAGUGAGGGUAGGCCACCCAACACUGGAACCAACAUCCUUGACCACAGUCCGGACCUCGUAGAGGCCGCGGUCCUGGUCGUUGCAGCCGCCGUCGCGGUGCGCGCCUCCACCUGGAGCGCGGGCGCGCUCGGCUGCCCACUGCGCCGUCCGCUCCUGCGCCACUUUGGCGCGAUCUGCGUCGGCGCCGUCGUCCGCAGGCGCGGAGCUGCUGGAGCUGCCGGGGAGUGCCUUGGCGUCCGCCGUAGCCUCACGGGCUGCUUCUGCUGCUGCUGCUGCUUCUACCUCCGCCCUGGCUGCUUCUACCUCCGCUCUGGCUGCUGCCAGCUCCGCUGCAGCCAGCCUCGACACUCUUGCCGCCGCAGCAGCCGCUGCUACAGCCGCUCGCUCACGCUCCUCUGCCACGGCGCGCUCGGCCUCUUGCCGGCGCCGCAUGCUCGAGGUAGCCGUGUGCUGAGAGCGACCUGCAGACAUGGCUCGCUGCAGGGGGGCUGUUGCGUGAAGAGGAGGCUGAUGAAGACGAGCUGCUGCUCGACAGUCCGGAGGGAGGAAGGUAACCAGAGGCAGACGGAGCAGCUGCUGCUACCGACUUGGGCUGCUCACAGGAAAUGCUCAGGGUGCAGGUUAACCUGGCUCUGAUACCACUUGUUAGACCUUUCAACCUGAGCAUUGAUAGUUGUGGAUGGCACUAGGAGAGUUGGGACAAUUUUCGUUGGUUUAUUUCUCACACAAUGCCAUGCCAACCUGAGGGGUUGGGGAUACAUAUUUAUAGGCUGCUAGCCAGCCAAGGCAUAUGCUAAGAUGCUGCUAAGAUGCCAGUCUAAGAUGCUAGUCUAAGAUGCUAGUCUAAGAUGCUAACUGACAGUCCUUGAUGGUCAAGAACAGAACUCAACAGAACUCUAUCCUAACAGCCAGUCCUUGAUGGUCCAGGACUUUAUCCUCCUAACUGCCACAAGGACCAUGUGCUGCAGCCCCACAAGGACCCUAGUACACAGACUUAUCCAUCACACUUUAGUUCUCUGUGUACGUUGAUCAUUGUAGUGCAGUGUUUGAUAUGUUGCCAAUAGCCUUUCCCUUGGCUCUUCCUCUCUAUUUAGUUAUUCCUCGAAUCAAGUGCAUAGUUAUUUUGUUGUUGCAGGUUUUAUUGUCGUUAUAAUUGUGUACUCACUUUGUUCUAGGAUAUAAAGGCAUGUUAGUUAUUCCUUUAUCAUGCCUAUAAUGUUCAAAACUUCGAAAUCAUAUGGGAUAAAGAUCACGUCUCUUUUUAUUUUGACAUGGCCACCUUUAUCGUUAUACAGUAUUUUUUAUGAAAACAUUGCAGAUAUUAUUUACAGAUGCAAAUUUGUAUCAGGACUUGAAAAUUUGUAGUCACUGCAUGUUCUCUUAUAUACUCUGUCAUGGUGUACUUCAUUUUAAGCUUCAGAACUAGGAGAUUGGUUUAUAGGUUAUGUGCCUUUGCUUUGUAGUAAGUUGUGGAUGUCAAUGUCAGUUCUGCUGCAAAGUUGGGGAAAGAAUUGCAGUGCAAUCAAGUUUCGUCUGAUCACACAACAUCAGCGAUGUGACGAUGAAGCAAUGACAUUGUCUGGCUAUUCAUACAAUUCUAUGGAAGAUGCAAUGGACGUUGCAGCUGCUCGAGUAAUGAAAUACUCCCUCCGUCCCAAAAUUCUUGUCUUAGAUUUGUCUAGAUACGGAUGUAUCUAAUACUAAAACAUGACUUGAUACAUCCGUAUUUAGACAAAUCUAAGACAAGAAUUUUGGGACGGAGGGAGUACUAUAGUUACAACGAGCUGCAACAAACAAAGGAAAGAGAACUGCAUCUGAUUGGUUUGUUAGGACAAAGAAAAAGAAAUCAAAGAACAGGCUCUGAAGAUUAGAGAACUUACAAAAGACUUUGCAGACUACUUAUAUCAGGUUAAAAGCACUUCUUCUGAGAUUCACCGCCCAGCUAAAGGAAGUGUAUGCUCAGCCAAUUCCAUAAGUGGUCGCGAGCUCGACAAAGCGGCUAGAUAUUCACAAUGCAAUUGCCAUCUUGGCAAGUUGAGUGAAAACUCUAUGCAGGUAAUCCAAAACACAUCUGUAUAUCCACUUAGGAGAGGAUCUACUUCCACAGCCUAUGUGCCUUCAGAAGAUGCCGAUACUACCAGCUACAGCAGCCUUCUUUGAAUAUCAAGUGAUUACCUUUGUCUAGAGAAGAUCACUGCCAUAGUUCAUCUGCCAGUCUUUCCAGAGCUUCUAUCCUGUUGAUGGACUUUGAACUUAAGCUAUCCUCGGCUAUGUAUGUUAGUUGCAGCAAUCACAUGUAUAUAGAUUAAACCAUCGGCUACGUUCUAUGUUGUGUGGCAAUGCCAUAGUCUCUCAAUAUAACAUGCAGCAACUUAUUAUGUAUUUUCUACGAACUUAUGUUCAUUAUUAACAAACCUACCAUGCAUUGUAAUAUAUAACGCUAUGUAUGAACAUCAAUCAGAAAUUUAUGAUUGGUCUGUCAAUAUUCUUAUUUGCUUGGUUCGAAUGCUUGGUUUCCUCCUGCUCUUUUGCGCUAGGUGCGACAAUGUGGAUGAAGCGUGUGCUGCAUCUAAAAAAAAAUCCAUGUUCUUGCUGGAGCUACCUACUAUUUCAAUGGCUAUCGGUAAUCUCAGACAGGCUCAUCUAAAGAUUCAUGGUGCUGUGGUUGAACUUCAGAGCAUUUCAAGUGCGGGAUGUCUCUCACUGAAGAAUGAAGGUAUAUACCCAUAGCAGAAGAAAGGUAUAUACCCAUAUGAUCCAGACUUAGACUCAAGCUGUGGUGAGGAUUUUGUCCCUAUGUACCAACCUUCAAUGUAAUAUAUAAUACUAUGUAGGAACAUCAUACCUGUAUCUAUUUCCCUAUGCUACAAAGAUUUAAUGAACGGUCUCUAUAUAUUUUAUAUCUCAGGGUUUGAAAGCUUGGUUUGCUCUCGCUCUUUGCCCGGGCUUGCGAGGCACGCACGCGCUACAAUGGCCCCCGAUACAUCAGGGAAAAUCGUCAACGCAUCUGGGGUUACCCGAGCAGCUGGGCUAGUUGUGCUUCAUUAAUCAACUAAUGGGCUUCCUUCCGUCAGUAAAUGAAUGGGUCAGCUGACCUGGAGUACUGAGCUACUAGCCUAGGCCUAACAAGCACUGUAUUGGGUUGUUUUACUCGAGGCGAGGACCACGAUAUUUUUUCUCAAAAAAAGAACCACGAUCGAGCGUUGGCUCCACCUCCCCGUGACCCCGCUUGUUAGGUUGUUCCAGACGGAGACACCCUGGGUUGAUCGGAGACGGAACGGCGGCGAGUGGAGGCUGGCCUGGGCUGGGCACAGUGCCAGCAGUGGGCUGAGUCGGAGCGGAUCCAUCCCAGGAACGGCUGCUUGCCCCCUUGUUACUAGGUGAGAUUGAUAGACUUAUUUUUAGGUUUAAAUUUUGAGAUUAGAGCGUGGGGAGUUGGUCAUUGAGGAUAUUUCACUUUAAGAUUACAUUUGUAUGACUACUAUGUUCAAAAUUCGCUUAAUUAUUAAUGUUGAUAGAUUUGUGGCUCACGAUUUUUGUGCUAUUUUCUAUGUUGUCUAUAUGAAUCAAGGUUUUUUGCUGGUCAAUAUUCUGGAAACCGACCGGUUAACGGAUAUUUCAUCGGACCCUGAAUUUGUUGCUACAUGUUUAGGUAGUUAACAUAGAACCCAUAUUCAUAUUUUAGCACAAAACAUAGCCCCUAGCCUUGUGGAAGUGCUUUCAGCGUCACGGGAUCGACUACCAGUCUCGUCAGCUUGAUUUUAGUGUUUAAUUAUUUUUUAAGCCGUGGUGGGUUAGAGAGGACUCAAAUCUGCUCAUUAGGGAGUGGAUUGAUGUGUUCACUGCUAGAACACAAAGAGAUUUGCGUACAUAAAGGGUAAAAAUAAGUCCGGCUAAUUUGAUGAUUAAUUCCUACUGAUUGUACACUUUCAACUCAAGCGUUGCACCAUAUGCCAGAUUGUUUGGUACCUCAUUCAUCCUAGAUUUUUAGACGCAAAGCAUCUAGAUUUUAAAACAAGAAAUAACAUCUCUAACAAAAUUAUUCACUCAAAAGAGCAUGCCCAAGAUUGCAUCUCUCAUCUUUACAGUAAAUUUGGACAGCAGGGAUGUUCAGUAGAAAAGCAAUAACAGAAUACAUAGUUCAGAAUAUUCACAGGAUGUGCAAGACAAUCAUAAGUACCAUAAAAAAUGACCUGGUACUAAUAAGAGAAACCAGGUAAGGAUCAGACCUGGAAAUCCCGAGCACCCAAGAAACCAUAAAACAUCCAACACGUAAAACUUCUAUUUUUCAUAUGAGGUACUCUGGCUCCAGAUUUUACGGCAAAGCAUCCAAAAGAUGAACCAAGCAUCCAAUUUUUCUAACAGCAGAGCCAACCAUGAGCUACAGACCACAUAAAGCCGAGCUCCAAAAGCCAAACGCUAACCAGACAAGAACAAAUCUACAUCCUAUCCUAUUACAUGUCCCACCAGAAUCACAUUCUGAGCGACACGUGUCCGCAAAAAAAAAAACAUUCUGAACGACACAUGGCAUCUUCAUGUAUUAUAUGGAACUAGAGAAAUGUGAAGCAGGGGAGAACAUGUUGCUUCGUUAACA